Non-coding RNA from Collybia nuda, 97 nucleotides. NCBI's taxonomy places the organism in Eukaryota, Fungi, Basidiomycota, Agaricomycetes, Agaricales, Clitocybaceae. The record is from the annotation of a GenBank genome assembly.
ACACUGAUGGUGAAGUGGUUAUCAUGCUUGCCUUCCAUACGCUACCUGUUUGGUGGGAUGUAAGCAAGCGGCAGGGGUUCGAUUCCCCUUCAGUGUA